This 31-nucleotide non-coding RNA is filed under the name Rattus norvegicus (Norway rat). Lineage: Eukaryota; Metazoa; Chordata; Mammalia; Rodentia; Muridae. The record is from RNAcentral.
UGUUUGAUCGGCAACCGAUUUUAGAUGCACG